This 468-nucleotide ribosomal RNA is filed under the name uncultured bacterium. RNAcentral describes it as "partial 16S ribosomal RNA". It matches the Rfam family "Bacterial small subunit ribosomal RNA", at positions 28 to 507 of the family's 1533-position model. The record is from RNAcentral.
GACGAACGCUGGCGGCGUGCUUAACACAUGCAAGUCGAACGGAAAGGCCCUGCUUUUGUGGGGUGCUCGAGUGGCGAACGGGUGAGUAACACGUGAGUAACCUGCCCUUGACUUUGGGAUAACUUCAGGAAACUGGGGCUAAUACCGGAUAGGAGCUCCUGCUGCAUGGUGGGGGUUGGAAAGUUUCGGCGGUUGGGGAUGGACUCGCGGCUUAUCAGCUUGUUGGUGGGGUAGUGGCUUACCAAGGCUUUGACGGGUAGCCGGCCUGAGAGGGUGACCGGCGACAUUGGGACUGAGAUACGGCGCAGACUCCUACGGGAGGCAGCGGUGGGGAAUAUGGCACAAUGAGCGGAAGCGUGAUGCGACAGCGCCGCGUGCGGGAUGACGGCCUUCGAGUUAUGAACCGCUUUCGCCUGUGACGAAGCGUGAGUGACGGUAAUGGGUAAAGAAGCACCGGCUAACUACGUG